CCUACGGGAGGCAGCAGUGAGGAAUAUUGGUCAAUGGACGCAAGUCUGAACCAGCCAUGCCGCGUGCAGGAAGACGGCUCUAUGAGUUGUAAACUGCUUUUGUACGAGGGUAAACGCAGAUACGCGUAUCUUUCUGAAAGUAUCGUACGAAUAAGGAUCGGCUAACUCCGUGCCAGCAGCCGCGGGAAUACGGAGGAUUCAAGCGUUAUCCGGAUUUAUUGGGUUUAAAGGGUGCGUAGGUGGUCGGAUAAGUUAGGGGUGAAAUCCCGGGGCUCAACUUCGGAAUUGCCUCUGAUACUGUUCGGCUAGAGGGUAGGUGAGGUAGGCGGAAUGUAUGGUGUAGCGGUGAAAUGCGUAGAGAUCA
This 364-nucleotide ribosomal RNA is filed under the name uncultured bacterium. RNAcentral's name for it is "partial 16S ribosomal RNA". It matches the Rfam family "Bacterial small subunit ribosomal RNA", at positions 338 to 699 of the family's 1533-position model. The record is from RNAcentral.